AUUGAACGCUGGCGGAAUGCUUUACACAUGCAAGUCGAACGGUAGAGGGGGCAACCCCUCGAGAGUGACGAACGGGUGAGUAAUAUAUCGGAACGUGCCCAGUCGUGGGGGAUAACGUAGCGAAAGUUACGCUAAUACCGCAUACGAUCUAAGGACGAAAACGGGGGAUCGCAAGACCUCGCGCGAUUGGAGCGGCCGAUAUCAGAUUAGGGAGUUGGUGGGGUAAAGGCUCACCAAGCCAACGAUCUGUAGCUGGUCUGAGAGGACGACCAGCCACACUGGAACUGAGACACGGUCCAGACUCCUACGGGAGGCAGCAGUGGGGAAUUUUGGACAAUGGACGCAAGUCUGAUCCAGCCAUUCCGCGUGCAGGAUGAAGGCCCUCGGGUUGUAAACUGCUUUUGUACGGAACGAAAAGGUCUCUCUUAAUACGGGGGACUCAUGACGGUACCGUAAGAAUAAGCACCGGCUAACUACGUGCCAGCCGCCGCAGUAA
This 496-nucleotide ribosomal RNA is filed under the name uncultured bacterium. Its description in RNAcentral is "partial 16S ribosomal RNA". It matches the Rfam family "Bacterial small subunit ribosomal RNA", at positions 30 to 523 of the family's 1533-position model. The record is from RNAcentral.